UGCAGCUUUGUAGGAUCCCUAAUGCCAGCUGCUGCAAUGAGUUUCCAGGAUUCAGAUGCCCUAACUCUCCAGAGAAUGGAUAGCUUGCACGGCCCGUCUAAGGGUUCAGGAUGUUCCGCUAAUUAGCAGUCAGGUUUUGGGGGCCAAGAAUUGAGAACAAUCUUGAAUCUUGAAUUCUACAGGAGGUGAAAACAUUUUGCCAACCUUCAUCUGCAGUGAUCAUAUUGAAUGCCAGACAGCAACUGUAUUAUUGCCAUGAGCAAGUGAUAAGGUACAGCUGAGUACAAAUAAAGGCAGAAAACACAUUGUGCCCCCUAACAGCAGGGAAGCAAGUUAGCAUUAAUCCAUUGUGUUAGGAAAUGCAUCUCCAAAUUGGAAGGGAAAAUAAUUUGCAAUAUAUGCCUUUAUAAAUGAUCUUAACAUAUGAAUUCAUACAAAUUCAUCAUAAAGAAAGUAUUUUGGGCACAGACAAUUGGAGGGAGAGAUUCAGAAAUGUGGCUGACAACCAGAAGAAUGUGAACAGAAGAAGAAGGAGAAGUUAUUUAGCACAUUGCAUGUGAUAUUCAGUGGCAGAAAUGACAAAGACCUCUUUAGAACGUAGAAAUCUACAGCACAUAACAGGUUCUUCAGCUCACAAUAAUGUGCUGACCAUGUAACCUACUUCAGAAACUGUCUGGAAUUUCCUUACCACAUAGCCCUCUACUUUCCUAAACUCCAUGUACCUAUCUAAGAGUCUCUUAAAACACCCUAUUUUAUCUGCCUCCACCACCAUUGCUGGCUAUCCACACGAGCAAUGCCUCUCAUCAUCUUUGUUACGAGAAUACACAUAAAAUUAAGAUGUUUGCUGGCCUGGGCUAGCAUCAGUGGCAUCAGCAGUUGGUCUGCCACCUGCCCUCAGGGGAAGGAGAGAUAAGGAACAAUGGAGCAGCGUCUGGAGAUGUGUAAUGAAGGGAUGUGGGAGGGAGAGCUGUCUGGAGCGGCUCCCCCCUUUGAACCCUGAACUGUUUGAAGUGAUGGACAGGCGAUACCCCAGCAGGGGGAUAAAAAGGGACAGGUUCGCUAAGACAGACACACACGCCACCCGAGGUAACGAGACCCUGGAAGCGGUGCGCUUCUCACGAGUGGGUGAGAAGUACCAGACAACGACAAGGGUGGAAAGGUACGAUCAGCGGGAACCCGGUGUGUGUCCGCCCUUGCCUGGGUGCCGGGUUCACUGCAGAGGAUCGACCGCAUCUGGAGGAGGGGUCACAGUCGGUGACCUCAGGUGACAUCACCAAGGACCCACCCAAAAGUUGCUCGUGAGCAAUCUCGCUGGUCUGUGAGUGAAGCUGUGCUGAAUGAUGAGUUGUUCUCUCUGUCUCUCUUCCCCCACCUUGUCCAUCGCCAUGGCAACGAUUACUGCGAACUGAACUUUGAGUCAUUUUGAAAUUGGUCAUUUACCCCUAGACAACGAUAGAGCUUGAUUGAUGCUGUUAUCUUA
Molecule: long non-coding RNA, 1480 nt
Organism: Mobula hypostoma (lesser devil ray)
Lineage: Eukaryota; Metazoa; Chordata; Chondrichthyes; Myliobatiformes; Myliobatidae
Exons: 3
Source: RefSeq, a predicted model, not a curated record